UGAAGUAAAGUCGUACAAGUUUCGUAGUGAACUGCGGAAGGAUCAUUAAAAAUUGGUGACUGUAAUUUAGGUUAACCCAUUAAUAAUAUCUACCUUUGUGAAUUUGUUUGUUAUGUAAAAUUUUUUGUCUAUCCCUAAAGAAAGGUUGGAUAGUGUAUAGCUUAAAAACUUUUUUAGGGAAUGCUUAAGACUUUAUUUAAAAUUAAACUUUUGUAUUCAUUGUCUAAAAUUAAAUUUUAAAUAAAUAAUUAAAACAACUUUUGACAUGGAUCUUGGUUCUCGCAACGAUGAAGAACGCAGCAAAAGCGAUAAGUAAUGUGAAUGCAGAAUACGUGAAAUCACAAUCUUCGAACGCAUAUUGCACUUUUUAGUUUACUAAAAAAGUAUGUCUGUUUGAGUAUCAGUAAAAUAUUCUCAUAAAUCAUUGAUUUAUGGUAUGAGUGUUUUACAACGAUAAACAGUUGUUUCACUUUAAAUGGAUUUAAUUGAAAUCGUCGGUGGGAACAUUUUAAUUUUUUUAAAAAUUGGAUAAAUUUCCGUAAAAGGAAUAAAGCUAUUUCAGUUUUUAGAAAUUUAAUAGUUUCCAUACCGGUACAGUUAAAGGAAAUUAUUUAUAAUAACUUGAUCUCAAUCAGAUAAGAGUACCGCUGAACUUAAGCAUAUCAUAAGCGGAGGAAAGAAACUAACAAGAUUCCCUUAGUAACGGCGAGUGAAGCGGAAGAGCUCAAAUUUGAAUCUUCAAGGUUCUACCUUGACGAAUUGUAGUUUAAAGAAGUGUUUCUGUAGAGGAGUGGCAAAGUUCUUUGGAAUAGGAAUCAUAGAGGGUGAGAAUCCGUAUUUGGUCAUUCUUUCUAGCUGUGUAUACACUUUCAAAGAGUCGGAUGUUUGGAUGCAGUCCAAAAUGGUGUAAAUUUCAUCUAAAGCUAAUAUUGCGAGAGACGAUAGGACAUACGUGAGGAAAGAUGAAAGAACUUUGAAAAGAGAGUUAACAGUAGUGAAAUUGUCAAAGGGAAGCGUUUGACACAGUGUUGUUUUCCGAAAUCAAUUGUGCCUGGGAUUUUGUAGGAGUUUGACCUUAUCAGCUCUUCUGCUUUUUCGGUUGGUGCAAUGCACUUUUCGUUAACAAGUCACAUCAAUUUCUUUGUUGAAAGGUAAUUGGAAGUGGCUUUCUUUCGGAGAAGGUUUAUAGCCUUUACUCUACAAUCGGAGAGAUGAGUCUGCAGCGUAGAUCUUCGGGUUAGAUACAUUGUGCUAGUUAUAGCCCUGUAUAGACAACUUGUUGACUAUACUCGUCAUGUAGCU
This 1302-nucleotide unclassified non-coding RNA is filed under the name uncultured Neocallimastigales. RNAcentral's name for it is "partial contains small subunit ribosomal RNA, internal transcribed spacer 1, 5.8S ribosomal RNA, internal transcribed spacer 2, and large subunit ribosomal RNA". The stretch from base 623 to 1302 matches the Rfam family "Eukaryotic large subunit ribosomal RNA", at positions 1 to 624 of the family's 3401-position model. The record is from RNAcentral. Lineage: Eukaryota; Fungi; Neocallimastigomycota; Neocallimastigomycetes; Neocallimastigales.